Molecule: unclassified non-coding RNA, 265 nt
Filed under: plant metagenome
Description: partial contains small subunit ribosomal RNA, internal transcribed spacer 1, and 5.8S ribosomal RNA
Source: RNAcentral
UUUCCGUAGGUGAACCUGCGGAAGGAUCAUUAUUGAAACUUCAUCCGGGGCGCCGCGGCCCUCAGCACCGGUGGAAACGCCGUGUUGCGGGGGCCGCGCGUGCACUCGUCCAAACCAAACCCCUGUGAACCUUACGGGAUGGCCUGGGUUAGCGCCCGGUGCCGUUCCGCUUUAUACAAACACUUAUCAAAGAAUGAACUGAAGGCGGUCUGACCGCUGGAUAACAGAACUGAAACAACUUUCAACAACGGAUCUCUUGGCUCUC